AUGGAAUUUGUUCCUUUAGUAAGGGAGUCUAGCUGAUAAUUAGAUUUUAGAGGGUUAAAAUCCUUCCAAAUUUUAUG
RNAcentral lists this transfer RNA (77 nucleotides) under Cheiraster sp. SS-2022. Its description in RNAcentral is "tRNA-Ile". It matches the Rfam family "tRNA". Rfam says of the family: Transfer RNA (tRNA) molecules are approximately 80 nucleotides in length. Their secondary structure includes four short double-helical elements and three loops (D, anti-codon, and T loops). Further hydrogen bonds mediate the characteristic L-shaped molecular structure. tRNAs have two regions of fundamental functional importance: the anti-codon, which is responsible for specific mRNA codon recognition, and the 3' end, to which the tRNAs corresponding amino acid is attached (by aminoacyl-tRNA synthetases). tRNAs cope with the degeneracy of the genetic code in two manners: having more than one tRNA (with a specific anti-codon) for a particular amino acid; and 'wobble' base-pairing, i.e. permitting non-standard base-pairing at the 3rd anti-codon position. The record is from RNAcentral. Lineage: Eukaryota; Metazoa; Echinodermata; Asteroidea; Notomyotida; Benthopectinidae.